UGGAUCCAGACUUGAUCAUGGCUCAGGAUGAACGCUAGCGACAGGCUUAACACAUGCAAGUCGAGGGGCAGCGGGGUGCGGCAGCAAUGCCGCACUGCCGGCGACCGGCGCACGGGUGAGUAACACGUAUGCAACCUGCCCGCCACCGGGGGAUAAUCGGGAGAAAUUCCGUCUAAUACCCCAUAACACGGCGAAGGGACAUCCCUUUGCGGUCAAAGGAGCGAUCCGGUGACGGAUGGGCAUGCGGCGCAUUAGGCAGUUGGCGAUGUAACGGACCACCAAACCGACGAUGCGUAGGGGUUCUGAGAGGAAGGUCCCCCACACUGGUACUGAGACACGGACCAGACUCCUACGGGAGGCAGCAGUGAGGAAUAUUGGUCAAUGGGCGGAAGCCUGAACCAGCCAAGUCGCGUGAGGGAAGACGGUCCUAUGGAUUGUAAACCUCUUUUGUCGGGGAGCAAGGAUCCGCACGAGUGCGGAGGCGAGAGUACCCGAAGAAAAAGCAUCGGCUAACUCCGUGCCAGCAGCCGCGGUAAUACGGAGGAUGCGAGCGUUAUCCGGAUUUAUUGGGUUUAAGGGGUGCGCAGGCGGAGGAUCAAGUCAGCGGUAAAAUAGCGGGGCUCAACCCCGUCGAGCCGUUGAAACUGGUUUUCUAGAGUGAGCGAGAAGUAUGCGGAAUGCGUGGUGUAGCGGUGAAAUGCAUAGAUAUCAUGCAGAACUCCGAUUGCGAAGGCAGCAUACCGGCGCUCAACUGACGCUCAGGCACGAAAGCGUGGGUAUCGAACAGGAUUAGAUACCCUGGUAGUCCACGCAGUAAACGAUGAAUACUAAUUGUGCGGUCCGAGUGAGGACUGUGUGAUACAGCGAAAGCGUUAAGUAUUCCACCUGGGGAGUACGCCGGCAACGGUGCAACUCAAAUGAAUUGACGGA
RNAcentral lists this ribosomal RNA (930 nucleotides) under uncultured Bacteroidota bacterium. RNAcentral describes it as "bacterial SSU rRNA". It matches the Rfam family "Bacterial small subunit ribosomal RNA", at positions 1 to 917 of the family's 1533-position model. The record is from RNAcentral. Lineage: Bacteria; Pseudomonadati; Bacteroidota.